CCUAGUACGAGAGGACCGGGACGGACGAACCUCUGGUGUGCCAGUUGUUCUGCCAAGGGCAUGGCUGGUUGGCUACGUUCGGGAGGGAUAACCGCUGAAAGCAUCUAAGCGGGAAGCCUGCUUCGAGAUGAGGACUCCCACCCCCUUGAGGGGUUAAGGCUCCCAGUAGACGACUGGGUUGAUAGGCCGGAUCUGGAAGCACCGUGAGGUGUGGAGGUGACCGGUACUAAUAGGCCGAGGGCUUGUCCUCAGUUG
This 255-nucleotide ribosomal RNA is filed under the name Streptomyces rubrogriseus. Its description in RNAcentral is "partial 23S ribosomal RNA". It matches the Rfam family "Bacterial large subunit ribosomal RNA", at positions 2677 to 2925 of the family's 2925-position model. The record is from RNAcentral. Lineage: Bacteria; Bacillati; Actinomycetota; Actinomycetes; Kitasatosporales; Streptomycetaceae.